Molecule: long non-coding RNA, 1368 nt
Filed under: Rattus norvegicus (Norway rat)
Lineage: Eukaryota; Metazoa; Chordata; Mammalia; Rodentia; Muridae
Description: long non-coding RNA NONRATT026833
Source: RNAcentral
GACCAGGCCUGGCAGAGGCCGAAAGCCGGGCAGCCGCCGAGAGCCUGGCCGGCUGGCACUCAAAUGGGGGACACGUGGUGGCUUCAAUGGACAAAUGGAACGGUCCCCAAGAAGGACUCACCAUUGGCAGCAUAAUGGGGAGCUAGCUGAAGGGGGUGCUGAGCCCAAGGAUCCACCCCUUCCUGGGCCCCAUCCUGAGGACCUUAAGGUGUCCCCGGGGAUAGUCAGAAAGUCUCGUCGUGGCCGGAGGAGAAAAUACAAAAAGUCUCUCACCCAGCCUUGGGAAAUUCACCUGGUGCUUGGGAGCUGUUCCUGAUCAUCUGUGCCCUUAUUGCAGCCCUGCCCGGAACAGCAGCAGCAGCUCCCGCCAGGACGUUACCUUGGAGCCCAGCCCUACAACCCGAGCGGCUGUCCCUCUGCCUCCCCGGGCCCGCCCUGGACGUCCUGCCAAAAAUAAGAGGAGGAAACUGGCCCCAUAGCAGCCAAACCUGGAGCUGGAAUCUGACCCUGACUGGGGAGAGCUGAGUGCUGAGCCUUGGGAGCCCCUGCCAGCCACGUGCACCUGUGGACAGUGGGUGGGGGCACUAAUCCCCACUCAGAGCACAAACGCAACCCCUUCCCCUACAAAUCCUAUCCUGAGCCAUUGCAGGGGGUAGGGAAGCUCACCCCCUCCCCCCCAAAGCCAUGUCACUGAAGAGGCCUGGGGGGGUGGUAUAUGGCCCUCUCCCCAUCAGGCGCUAAGGGGAACACCCCUUCCCCAGGUCUUUUAUUUGUUUAAGUUAUUUUUGCACAAAUGACUCUUUUAUAUUUAAUUCGACUUUUCAUUGCCUCCCUUCUUAAAGCCAGCAGGCUCAGUUUACAAACCUGUGAGCUACUGUUGGCUGCUGCCCUCCUCCUCCCCAGUGAAAGGUACAGAGCAAUAAGCAUCAUGCACCUCCCCGCACCCCACUGCAUCCCUCUGCCUCUGGCUCAGGUUGCUCAAAGCACAGAUCCCCUCUUAUCCCUAUCUCCAGGAUCGAAACACAUAGCCUCAUUUCAAAGUGUAGCCAGGUUCCCUCUGCUUUCCUCUGGGAUAUGAAAAGGGGGCCAAGAGGACUUUGGAUCUCUCCUCCCAUACACACUACACUGGCCCUUCUCCCCCAUCAAACGCUCAGAGACGUUGUGAUGAUGCCACUGAGGAUUAUGCAGCGUGGUCCAACCGGAGCGGCCAGCAUGACCAGCUGACCAGGGGCUGCCUCCUGCCUUUUUUUUGUAAAGACAAGACCCUUGGGAGUUUUAAUUCUGUUUUGUACUUGCCCUGUGGGGCCUCCACUGCUUUUCUAUGGGAGACACUCUUAAUUUAACAGAUGAGAAUAUUUUGAAACUCUG